GGGUCAGUAGGUUGGUCGUGCCACCGGUACGUACUGGUCUCACUGAUUCCUCCUUCCUGAAGAACCGUAAUGCCAUUAAUUUGGUGUUGCGGGGAAACAGGACUGUUACUUUGAAAAAAUUAGAGUGUUUAAAGCAAGCUAACGCUUGAAUACAUUAGCAUGGAAUAAUGAAAUAGGACGAUCCAUCCGAUUUUGUUGGUUUCUAGGAUUGACGUA
Molecule: ribosomal RNA, 216 nt
Filed under: Glomeromycotina sp.
Lineage: Eukaryota; Fungi; Glomeromycota
Description: partial small subunit ribosomal RNA
Rfam family: Eukaryotic small subunit ribosomal RNA (bases 40-216)
Source: RNAcentral